GUCCACGCUGUAAACGAUGAUCACUAGAUGUGGGGCUUGCAUAGCAGGCUCUGUGUCGAAGCUAACGCGUUAAGUGAUCCACCUGGGAAGUACGGUCGCAAGAUUAAAACUCAAAGGAAUUGACGGGGGUCCGCACAAGCGGUGGAACAUGUGGUUUAAUUCGACACUACGCGAGGAACCUUACCUGGGCUUGACAUGUAACUGCUACUGAUGGAAACAUUGGGUUCCGUAGUAAUACGGACGGUUACACAGGUGCUGCAUGGCUGUCGU
RNAcentral lists this ribosomal RNA (270 nucleotides) under uncultured bacterium. Its description in RNAcentral is "partial 16S ribosomal RNA". It matches the Rfam family "Bacterial small subunit ribosomal RNA", at positions 793 to 1055 of the family's 1533-position model. The record is from RNAcentral.